This 217-nucleotide ribosomal RNA is filed under the name uncultured bacterium. Its description in RNAcentral is "partial 16S ribosomal RNA". It matches the Rfam family "Bacterial small subunit ribosomal RNA", at positions 524 to 740 of the family's 1533-position model. The record is from RNAcentral.
UACGUAGGGUGCAAGCGUUAAUCGGAAUUACUGGGCGUAAAGCGUGCGCAGGCGGCUUUGUAAGUCUGUCGUGAAAGCCCCGGGCUCAACCUGGGAAUUGCGAUGGAGACUGCAAGGCUUGAAUCUGGCAGAGGGGGGUAGAAUUCCACGUGUAGCAGUGAAAUGCGUAGAGAUGUGGAGGAACACCGAUGGCGAAGGCAGCGCCCUGGAUCAAGCU